RNAcentral lists this transfer RNA (72 nucleotides) under Octopus vulgaris (common octopus). It matches the Rfam family "tRNA". Rfam says of the family: Transfer RNA (tRNA) molecules are approximately 80 nucleotides in length. Their secondary structure includes four short double-helical elements and three loops (D, anti-codon, and T loops). The record is from Rfam by way of RNAcentral. Lineage: Eukaryota; Metazoa; Mollusca; Cephalopoda; Octopoda; Octopodidae. RNAcentral also lists the same sequence under 1 other name.
GGUUCUAUGGUGUCAUGGUGAGCACUCUGGACUCUGAAUCCAGCGAUCCGAGUUCGAGUCUUGGUAGAACCU